AAUAAGAAAAAAUUCUCAAAGAAAAUUUCAGGACUUUGUCACUUCAGCCAGGGGAAAAAAAAAAAAAAAAGAAAAAAAAAGAAAAGCUAAGCAGGAUGUUUUUGUUUUGUUUUGUUUUGUUUUUUCCCACUGCUGAGAUGAUGAGUCCAACUAUAUUAGUUUUUAGACCAAUUUGUAUAUAAGCUGCAGCACUUUUUCGGACUUUUUUAAUUUCCUAAUCAUAAAAUGAUAAGAAAACUAGUUUCACUACUUUUGCCAGAUUAGCACUUUAAACAGGAAGGAAUUGCAAUAGAUAAGUAAGACUUAAUGGUGAGUGAUAAAAUUGUAGUAUGCCAAGUUCCUUGAUGGAGAGAGGAAGUUCCUUGUUUCACAGACAUGGAACAUAACUGAAACAAAACUUUUUCAUAUCUGUGAAGGGUAAACAUAUCAUCUUUAGUGCAGGAAUAGCUCUCAGGCAGAUAUGGUCUCUGAAGAAGCGAUAAACUGACCAGAAAAACCAAUGUCAUAGUGCCCUGUUAUUGCCUUGAGGAUCAAAACUCAGGGAUCCAGAUAGGUCAACAAGCGCGCAAGUUAGUUUCUCUGAAAUAACAUUUGCCUAACACUGCUGUUGUCUAGCAAAGAAUUUUAAAGAGGGAUUUACACAGCCUUGCUGAUCUGAAACGCAAGGCUGAUCAGGCCAGCAAUCUCAUUUGAGGGUUAUGCACAGCAGUUCUAGCUCCCUGUGAUGAAGUAGGACCUUUUGAUUAACUUCAGUGGGUUUCAGACAGCUCUUUUUAAAGGAAAACAUGCCCUGGGUUUUAGAGUUUAAAACUCUUUUAAGGUGAGGGCUUUAUCUUGUACUAUACUAUAUUGAACGAAGUGGGAUUCUCCUGACAAGGAUUCUAUUUCUGAAAUAACGUAGACUGAAAAUCAGAAUUUUCAUUCGUUCUGUUCAUAACUCUUCCAGUGUUGGAGCAAAACAUGGAAAACCAACCAACCAAACAAAAAACACACUAAAAGGUUUUGUAACAUAUUGUAACAUCAAUUUAUUCAAAACUGAGUAGGAUUGACUUGAGUCAAAAUAAUUGCUGCAGAGACUUGCAGAAUGGAUGUCUCAGGUAACUAUGAGUCAGGUGUGUAUAUAGAAUAAAUGUCCUUCUAUUUGGACCGAUAGAUCA
Molecule: long non-coding RNA, 1157 nt
Filed under: Anser cygnoides (Swan goose)
Lineage: Eukaryota; Metazoa; Chordata; Aves; Anseriformes; Anatidae
Description: lncRNA (ENSACDG00005008709.1)
Source: RNAcentral